UACGUAGGGUGCGAGCGUUAAUCGGAAUUACUGGGCGUAAAGCGUGCGCAGGCGGUUCGUUGUGUCGGCGGUGAAAGCCCCGGGCUUAACCUGGGAAUGGCCGUUGAAACUGGCGAACUGGAGUGUGGCAGAGGGGGGUGGAAUUCCGCGUGUAGCAGUGAAAUGCGUAGAGAUGUGGAGGAACACCGAUGGCGAAGGCAGCCUCCUGGGCCAGCACUGACGCUCAUGCACGAAAGCGUGGGGAGCAAACAGG
This 253-nucleotide ribosomal RNA is filed under the name uncultured bacterium. RNAcentral's name for it is "partial 16S ribosomal RNA". It matches the Rfam family "Bacterial small subunit ribosomal RNA", at positions 524 to 776 of the family's 1533-position model. The record is from RNAcentral.